UGUAAACAAGUUCAAACCCAUUGUGUGCU
This 29-nucleotide non-coding RNA is filed under the name Rattus norvegicus (Norway rat). The record is from RNAcentral. Lineage: Eukaryota; Metazoa; Chordata; Mammalia; Rodentia; Muridae.